RNAcentral lists this ribosomal RNA (236 nucleotides) under uncultured bacterium. RNAcentral's name for it is "partial 16S ribosomal RNA". It matches the Rfam family "Bacterial small subunit ribosomal RNA", at positions 76 to 334 of the family's 1533-position model. The record is from RNAcentral.
AGUUUAAACUCAAGUGGCGACGGGUGAGUAACACGUAAGAAUUUGACCUCUAGGAGGGGGACAACAACUGGAAACGGUUGCUAAUACCCCAUAUGCUUUCGAGUGAAACGGAUUUUCCGCCUAGAGAGAAGCUUGCGGCUGAUUAGCUUGUUGGUGAGGUAAUGGCUUACCAAGGCGACGAUCAGUAUCUGGUUUGAGAGGACGAUCAGACACACUGGAACUGAGACACGGUCCAG